GGAGCCUUCGAGGGCGGGGAGACCGGGUGGGACCUGCUGGGUCGCUCAGUAACCGAGACGGCUCGGGUGCGGGUUCGCGUCCCGUGGCUCCC
RNAcentral lists this transfer RNA (92 nucleotides) under Streptomyces sp. TUS-ST3. RNAcentral's name for it is "tRNA-Ser". The record is from RNAcentral. Lineage: Bacteria; Bacillati; Actinomycetota; Actinomycetes; Kitasatosporales; Streptomycetaceae.